GCUUGUCUCAAAGAUUAAGCCAUGCAUGUCUAAGUAUAAGCAACUAUACGGUGAAACUGCGAAUGGCUCAUUAAAUCAGUUAUCGUUUAUUUGAUAGUACCUUACUACAUGGAUAACCGUGGUAAUUCUAGAGCUAAUACAUGCUAAAAACCUCGACUUCGGAAGGGGUGUAUUUAUUAGAUAAAAAACCAAUGCCCUUCGGGGCUCCUUGGUGAAUCAUAAUAACUUAACGAAUCGCAUGGCCUUGCGCCGGCGAUGGUUCAUUCAAAUUUCUGCCCUAUCAACUUUCGAUGGUAGGAUAGUGGCCUACCAUGGUAUCAACGGGUAACGGGGAAUUAGGGUUCGACUCCGGAGAGGGAGCCUGAGAAACGGCUACCACAUCCAAGGAAGGCAGCAGGCGCGCAAAUUACCCAAUCCCGACACGGGGAGGUAGUGACAAUAAAUACUGACACAAAGGGCUUUUGGGUCUUGUAAUUGGAAUGAGUACA
RNAcentral lists this ribosomal RNA (488 nucleotides) under Tardigrada environmental sample. RNAcentral describes it as "SSU rRNA". It matches the Rfam family "Eukaryotic small subunit ribosomal RNA", at positions 30 to 522 of the family's 1831-position model. Lineage: Eukaryota; Metazoa; Tardigrada. The record is from RNAcentral.